CGUUGUCCGGAAUUACUGGGCGUAAAGAGCUCGUAGGUGGUUUGUCGCGUCGUUUGUGUAAGCCCGCAGCUUAACUGCGGGACUGCAGGCGAUACGGGCAUAACUUGAGUGCUGUAGGGGAGACUGGAAUUCCUGGUGUAGCGGUGGAAUGCGCAGAUUUCAGGAGGAACACCGAUGGGGAAGGCAGGUCUUUGGGCAGUAACUGACGUUGAGGAGGGAAAGCAUGGGUAGCGAACAGGAUUAGAUACCCUGGUAGUCCAUGCCGUAAACGGUGGGCGCUAGGUGUGAGUCCCUUCCACGGGGUUCGUUCCGUAGCUAACGCAUUAAGCGCCCCCCCUGGGGAGUACGGCCGCAAGGCUAAAACUCAAAGGAAUUGACGGGGGCCCGCCCAAGCGGCGGAGCAUGUGGAUUAAUUGGAUGCAACGGGAAGAACCUUACCUGGGCUUGACAUACACCAGAUUGCCGUAGAGAUACGGUUCCCUCUUUGAUGGUUGAUGUACAGGUGGUGCAUGGUGUCGUCAG
Molecule: ribosomal RNA, 522 nt
Filed under: Corynebacterium mucifaciens
Lineage: Bacteria; Bacillati; Actinomycetota; Actinomycetes; Mycobacteriales; Corynebacteriaceae
Description: bacterial SSU rRNA
Rfam family: Bacterial small subunit ribosomal RNA
Source: RNAcentral